GGUAAACGCUGGCGGCGUGCCUAAAACAUGCAAGUCGAACGGGUCAUCUCCUUCGGGAGGUGGUCAGUGGCAGACGGCUGAGUAACGCGUGGGUGACGUGCCUAUCGGUGGGGAAUAACCGCCCGAAAGGGUGGCUAAUUCCGCAUGCGUCUGAUGUUUCGGUAGAUCAGAGAAAGUCAGGAGUGAUCCUGGCGCCGAUGGAACGGCCCGCGUUCGAUUAGCUAGUUGGGGGGUAACGGCCUACCAAGGCGACGAUCGAUAGCUGGUCUCAGAGGAUGAUCAGCCAGACUGGGACUGAGACACGGCCCAGACUCCUACGGGAGGCAGCAGUUAGGAAUUUUGGGCAAUGGGCGAAAGCCUGACCCAGCAACGCCGCGUGGGUGACGAA
This 388-nucleotide ribosomal RNA is filed under the name uncultured bacterium. RNAcentral describes it as "bacterial SSU rRNA". It matches the Rfam family "Bacterial small subunit ribosomal RNA", at positions 28 to 412 of the family's 1533-position model. The record is from RNAcentral.